Molecule: ribosomal RNA, 468 nt
Filed under: uncultured bacterium
Lineage: Bacteria
Description: partial 16S ribosomal RNA
Rfam family: Bacterial small subunit ribosomal RNA
Source: RNAcentral
GACGAACGCUGGCGGCGUGCUUAACACAUGCAAGUCGAACGGAAAGGCCCUGCUUUUGUGGGGUGCUCGAGUGGCGAACGGGUGAGUAACACGUGAGUAACCUGCCCUUGACUUUGGGAUAACUUCAGGAAACUGGGGCUAAUACCGGAUAGGAGCUCCUGCUGCAUGGUGGGGGUUGGAAAGUUUCGGCGGUUGGGGAUGGACUCGCGGCUCAUCAGCUUGUUGGUGGGGUAGUGGCUUACCAAGGCUUUGACGGGUAGCCGGCCUGAGAGGGUGACCGGCCACAUUGGGACUGAGAUACGGCCCAGACUCCUACGGGAGGCAGCAGUGGGGAAUAUUGCACAAUGGGCGGAAGCCUGAUGCAGCAACGCCGCGUGCGGGAUGACGGCCUUCGGGUUGUAAACCGCUUUCGCCUAUGACGAAGCGUGAGUGACGGUAAUGGGCAAAGAAGCACCGGCUAACUACGUG